AUACAGAGGGUGCGAGCGUUAAUCGGAAUUACUGGGCGUAAAGCGCGCGUAGGCGGCUUAUUAAGUCAGAUGUGAAAUCCCCGGGCUCAACCUGGGAACUGCAUCUGAUACUGGUAAGCUAGAGUUUUGGAGAGGGAAGUAGAAUUUCAGGUGUAGCGGCGAAAUGCAUAGAGAUCUGAAGGAAUACCAGUGGCGAAGGCGACUUCCUGGCCAAAAACUGACGCUGAGGUGCGAAAGCGUGGGUAGCAAACGGGAUUAGAAACCCCAGUAGUCC
RNAcentral lists this ribosomal RNA (274 nucleotides) under uncultured bacterium. Its description in RNAcentral is "partial 16S ribosomal RNA". It matches the Rfam family "Bacterial small subunit ribosomal RNA", at positions 523 to 796 of the family's 1533-position model. The record is from RNAcentral.